AUUAAAAAUAAAAAAUAAUUCAAGUUUGACAACAAAACUAUGGGAUGGGAGAAAAUAAAAGAGAAAAUAAGUUGGCUUUCAGUAGUAAAUGAUAUGAUUUAAAAUUAAUUGGCUUUCAAUUUUCCUGUUACCAGCACAAGACCACCACCCAACCCCAGCGGCGUCAACCUCUUAUCCUCCACAACCCAAUCCCAAUUUUCCCGAUUCACAUCGCAUCCAGGUAACCAACCAUUCACCAGUAAAAAAACAUAUAAUCAUACACAAAUAACAAAUCCAACGCAAUUUUCCCGAUUCAAUUUCGACUUUCAUGACCUGAAAAGAUGACACAUUGAAUCCAAAACUUUAAAGAAAAAACAAAGAAAGAGAAGAAACCUAGAGAGAACAAAAUGAACCCAAAUUCCCAAUCCCAUCAAGUGAUGCUGACAUGUCUGUCCCUCAUCAGACGAGGAGAUUGACGAUGUCGUUUGGGGUGAAGAAGGAGGAGAAGGAGGAGGAAGAAGGGUAGUGAGGACAGUGGUCGCUGAGAUUGACGGAGCGAGAGGCGAAGAGCAGGAGGGGUCGGUCGUGGGCCUCUUCUGGGUUCAUUUCGUGGUCGUCGGAGGUGGAGAGGUUGUCACCGCUGGGGUUGGAUGGUGGUCGUGUGCUGGGAUUUUAUUUCUUUACUUCAAUUUCUUUUGUCAAACAUGUAUUUUAAUAUAUUUUAAUUAUUUUUUUUAAGAAAGGGCUAAGAGAGUUAACAGAGUUAAAUUAUUGUUAAGUUAUGUGCCACAUGUCACAAGAAUAAGGAGGAAACAGGACACAGGGAAUUUGGUAACAGGAAAAUUGGACUCAUUUAAAAUACCCUACAGAAAAGAACAUUCAUGGCAAACAAUUGUUUCAAGUUCUUACAAUUCAUUUACCAUAACUCAACGGUGUGGAUAACCCCACUGUAGAAUUUUCGUUGGCGUGAGCUAAAAGCCCCGGAUGAGAGGAGAGAGACGACUCAACACUCAAGACCCAAGACUCAAGAGUUUCUGAACUGAAUUUUAUACUAAAUGGAUGAGAACUUAAUAAUGCACUCUUAUCCUCCACAACCCAAUCCCAAUUUUCCCGAUUCACAUCGCAGGUAACCAACCAUUCACCAGUAAAAAAACAUAUAAUCAUACACAGAUAACAAAUCCAACCCAAUUUUCCCGAUUCAAUUUCGACUUUCAUGACCUGAAAGAUGACACAUUGAAUCCAAAACUUAAAAGAAAAAACAAAGAAAGAGAAGAAACCUAGAGAGAACAAAAUGAACCCAAAUUCCCAAUCCCAUCAAGUGAUGCUGACAUGUCUGUCCCUCAUCAGACGAGGAGAUUGACGAUGUCGUUUGGGGUGAAGAAGGAGGAGAAGGAGGAGGAAGAAGGGUAGUGAGGACAGUGGUCGCUGAGAUUGACGGAGCGAGAGGCGAAGAGCAGGAGGGGUCGGUCGUGGGCCUCUUCUGGGUUCAUUUCGUGGUCGUCGGAGGUGGAGAGGUUGUCACCGCUGGGGUUGGAUGGUG
Molecule: long non-coding RNA, 1519 nt
Filed under: Prunus dulcis (almond)
Lineage: Eukaryota; Viridiplantae; Streptophyta; Magnoliopsida; Rosales; Rosaceae
Description: sRNA ncRNA
Source: RNAcentral